RNAcentral lists this ribosomal RNA (322 nucleotides) under uncultured eukaryote. Its description in RNAcentral is "partial 18S ribosomal RNA". It matches the Rfam family "Eukaryotic small subunit ribosomal RNA", at positions 1470 to 1796 of the family's 1831-position model. The record is from RNAcentral.
CCCUUAGAUGUUCUGGGCCGCACGCGGGCUACACUGAGUAAUUCAAUGGGUAAGGGAACGCUAGAGCAUUACCUAAUCUUGAAAUUUGCUCGUGAUGGGGAUCGACGGUUGCAAUUUUCCGUCGUGAACGAGGAAUACCUUGUAGGCGCAUGUCAUCAUCAUGCGCCGAAUACGUCCCUGCCCUUUGUACACACCGCCCGUCGCUCCUACCGAUUGAGUGAUCCGGUGAGGCUCUGGGACCUGGACGGAAAGAGCGUUUCGCUUGUUCUGUUUGGGAAACUUGGUCGAACCUUAUCAUUUAGAGGAAGGAGAAGUCGUAACA